RNAcentral lists this ribosomal RNA (253 nucleotides) under uncultured bacterium. Its description in RNAcentral is "partial 16S ribosomal RNA". It matches the Rfam family "Bacterial small subunit ribosomal RNA", at positions 524 to 776 of the family's 1533-position model. The record is from RNAcentral.
UACGUAGGGUGCGAGCGUUAAUCGGAAUUACUGGGCGUAAAGCGUGCGCAGGCGGCUUUGCAAGACAGAUGUGAAAUCCCCGGGCUCAACCUGGGAACUGCAUUUGUGACUGCAAGGCUAGAGUACGGCAGAGGGGGAUGGAAUUCCGCGUGUAGCAGUGAAAUGCGUAGAGAUGCGGAGGAACACCAAUGGCGAAGGCAAUCCCCUGGGCCUGUACUGACGCUCAUGCACGAAAGCGUGGGGAGCAAACAGG